Molecule: ribosomal RNA, 482 nt
Filed under: uncultured bacterium
Lineage: Bacteria
Description: partial 16S ribosomal RNA
Rfam family: Bacterial small subunit ribosomal RNA
Source: RNAcentral
AUUGAACGCUGGCGGCAUGCCUUACACAUGCCAGUCGAACGGUAACAGGUCUUCGGAUGCUGACGAGUGGCGCACGGGGGAGUAAUACACCGGAACGUGCCCGAUCGAGGGGGGUAACGAAGCGAAAGCCUUGCUAAUAUCGCAUACGAUCUACGGAUGAAAGCGGGGGAUCUUCGGACCUCGCGCGCACGGAGCGGCCGAUGGCUGAUUAGGUAGUUGGUGGGAUAAAAGCUUACCAAGCCGACGAUCUGUAGCUGGUCUGAGAGGAUGAUCAGCCACACUGGGACUGAGACACGGCCCAGACUCCUACGGGAGGCAGCAGUGGGGAAUAUUGGACAAUGGGCGCAAGCCUGAUCCAGCCAUGCCGCGUGCAGGAUGAAGGCCUUCGGGUUGUAAACUGCUUUUGUACGGAACGAAAAGGAGCCUGCUAAUAAAGGGCGCUCAUGACGGUACCGAAAGAAUAAGCACCGGCUAACUACGUG